RNAcentral lists this ribosomal RNA (253 nucleotides) under uncultured bacterium. RNAcentral describes it as "partial 16S ribosomal RNA". It matches the Rfam family "Bacterial small subunit ribosomal RNA", at positions 524 to 776 of the family's 1533-position model. The record is from RNAcentral.
UACGUAGGGUGCAAGCGUUAAUCGGAAUUACUGGGCGUAAAGCGUGCGCAGGCGGAUAUGUAAGUUAGAUGUGAAAUCCCCAGGCUUAACCUGGGAACUGCAUUUAAGACUGCAUGUCUAGAGUUUGUCAGAGGGGGGUAGAAUUCCAAGUGUAGCAGUGAAAUGCGUAGAGAUUUGGAGGAAUACCGAUGGCGAAGGCAGCCCCCUGGGAUAAAACUGACGCUCAUGCACGAAAGCGUGGGUAGCAAACAGG